AUGAGAAAACGCAGUUCUGCCUGCGCUGUUCCGAGGAGGGCGUGCGGGGCUGGGGAUGAGGUUCGCUUCUCUAGAUCGAGUGCCUCAAAGCCGCCUGUCGCGGGGCGGGGCGGGGCGACGCCUGUUCCCCAGCCGGUGGGACCCCAGGUGCCCCCUAAUUCCUUUUGGAACUCUGCUCCCUCAAACGCCGCCCUCUCAGCCGCUCAGUUUCAAGGGACCCUGGAAACUCAUCCCUGGAGAGAGCUGCAGUUCUUUUCCGGAAGACAAUCACAUGAGUCAGCCAGACUGGUGCACCCCGGGGUGGACUUGAGGGGUCCAGGAGUGGCCUCUGGAGCUAGGGAGCGUUGGCCCAGGUUGCGUCCCGUGGCCCAGGAGCCCAGGGAAGACGAUAGAGCAGGCUGGGAAGGAGCCAGGGCCUGUGCCCUGCACCGGGGACCCGCUGCAGGGCACCGCAGGCCACUUGGGUCACCUGCGACGUUUCCCCCUUUUCUCUCCCUUCCUUUUGGGCCCACUACGAGGAGGGCACCCAGACAUCCACCCUCACCUCCAUCACUUUUCUGGAAGAAAGCCCGUUCAGUAGAUGCAACUCAGGCCAUUUGUGCGCUUAAGCAAGCUCAAGAAAUAGAAAAUAUCCAAAGAAUGAGACCCCAGGGAAUGCUUCCACACCCAGCACCCGCUUCCUAAGUCGUAGGAACCGGGUCGUCAUUAGCGCUCUGACCCGGAGGAGAGACGCCUUAGAGAAAGAAAUGAACAGAGAACCCGCACCACCCCGCCUGCUUCAUUUCGCUUUCCUUGAAAUCCCUCGGCUUCGAGUUCCCGUCUCCUCCGCGUCCCUCGCCUUCGGUCUCCCGCCCCUCAAAUGCACAAUGCGCCGAUGCUGGGAGGGGAGGAGAGCGGGGAGUUACGGUAGAGGAAAAAAAUCAACAAGCUUUCAGGGGAAAAAAAAAAAAAAAAGUAAACCUGCGCAUCCAGAGUGCCAACACGUUUUUUCCAUUUGCGUCGACUUAUUUGGAAACAGCUGUCGGGGUGAUAAUUUCGCCUGAGAAAUUAACCAUUAAAGUCUCAAAGUUCCAAAUGAUUGUGAAAUUCCGCUUGUAAAAAAUACUGAUUUUUAAAGAGUUUCUUUUCUCUGUCGUUCCUACAUGAAGCCCCGAGGAUGCGCUUUGGGCUCGGGGACUGAGGGCGUGCUGGGCAGACAGCUGUUGAUCCACACAAAGAGGACACCAGAGUGGACGCAGCUUGGGGUUCCAUCUGGGAGGACUGUUCAUCCCCUUCCCCAUUCCAAUGAAAAGAAAUGGAUUAAAAAAGGAAUAAUCGGAAUUAUGUGUUUAUGGUGGGCAGAUGGAACAGGAAAGAAUGAACCUUAGCAACAAAAGGAUGAUGGAGAGGAGAGUGAAAAUUCGGAAGCAACAAAAUAACUAAGGAAGCUAAGGGGAUACUAACACUGGACAGGGAGCUACAGUGUUGAUUUAGACAUGAAUCAGCUCUUCUCUACUCUUAUUGAUCAAUAAUUUGGUACCCUCUCAUAAACUGCUGGAGAAGCCAAAUCCAGUUUUUUUUUUUUCUUCUGAGAAACAAGGUUGGAAAUCAGUUUGAAACCAACAAAGCCACCUGCCAGCCUGUCAGAAUCUGUCCACUGCAGUGUCUUCCUCCCCCUCCCUCCCCCACCCCACUCUCCCUAUCUUGUCUCACUCCCCCAGUCCAUCCCCACUUCCUUAUCCUGUUAGCUUCUCCCCCAAUUAAUCCAACCGGGAGUCAGCCUUACACCUGCUGGAGGGAUUCUGGUGGCAGUGGUGGGAGGUUCUGGUUUGCAGCAGAGACUCAAACGUCUUGUCAAUCUCACCCAUGCUCUCUGUAGGACCCUCCCUGGAAGAUACUGGAGCAUGGAGCUGGGGAAGCUCUCCUAAGCUGGAAUGUUUUGCCUGUUUCCACCAUCCAUCUCCCUUGCCUCCCAGCACCUACCACCCCUUAGUCUGUUUUUUCUCAGCCCAGUUCCAUCCUUGCAUGAGUUGGCAAAACUCUCUUAUUGAUGUUGGGUGCACGGUUUUAAAUGGGGGAAAUGGAUUGAACAUACUGGGUCCUCCUUUAAAAAAUUUUUAAUUUCAUUGACACGUCUUGAAAGGUUUGUUUUGGUUUAAGCAAAGCUGCCAAUACCAAAUACAAACAGAUGGACACACACUGUGAGUAUCAGAUGUUGGGAAUAAAAAUGGUUUAUUGAUUGAAAUAAUAGAGGCA
This is a long non-coding RNA of Oryctolagus cuniculus (rabbit), 2235 nucleotides long. The record is from Ensembl. Lineage: Eukaryota; Metazoa; Chordata; Mammalia; Lagomorpha; Leporidae.